This 1117-nucleotide long non-coding RNA is filed under the name Struthio camelus australis. RNAcentral describes it as "lncRNA (ENSSCUG00000011947.1)". The record is from RNAcentral. Lineage: Eukaryota; Metazoa; Chordata; Aves; Struthioniformes; Struthionidae.
UAUAUAUAUAUUUUUUUUUUUUAAGUUCACGGGGAGGAAAGAAAAAAAAAAUAAGGAUGAUCUCACUUUUACGGUAAGAUCAAAAAAUCUCCGCUCGCCCCCAUUCUUCGAGAUUUGGGAUAAUUCCAAAUACCUUACUAAGUGCAGAUGUUGUUGCGUCUUCACAUCCUAUAAAGCCGACUUGACGUUCUUUUGCUCUCGCUUUCCUUUUCAAGUCGCAGGAAAUUCAGACACUUUACAUGAAGGGUGGAGAAGUGGUGGGAUUUGCUAACUUAACGGGUUUUUUUUAAUUAUUAUUAUUGUUAGUUGAUUUUUUUUUAAAGCUGAUCUUUAGGAUGAAAAAAAAAUCGCAGUCGCCUAAAGUCCCCGGGAAAUUGCUACUGUUGGGGGAAAACGAAACAUUUCUUGCAAACGAGAAAAUGUUAUACUCGGCCACAUAUAUGCAUGUAUUUAUGAAUUUAGUGACAUGUAUAUUUUAACAAAGAAGAUGCCCUAGCACAGCUUUCACUCAUGCAUAAAUGCACACACGUUUGGAAGAUGCCAGCAGAUUGCAACCUCAGGAGCUAAACGAUUUCACUACAAGAAACAUUUGUGAGAGAAAGCACAACACCGACUAUAUAGGAAGUGCUGAUGCCCAGCCACUUGUUCGUUGCAGGACGGGAGCGGGAGCAGCGCGGCGGCGCGACCUGCGGAGGGACCCGGCGGGGAAGGCGGCGGCGGCACAUGCCCGCUCCCCUGUGCGCAGGAGAAGCACAUACGCUCCCUCCCAACAGCUUCGUCCACAGUAUCGAAAGGCAAAAAGUGCGCAGAAACUACUUGAGUUUCUCCGGGCUAAGCACAAAGAGGAAACUAUUUUCAUUGAUAGUCCAAUAGAUGAGUAGGUAUCUGACAAGUUUGCUUAAGAAGAAAACAGUCCACAAGCAAAAAACGCCGCCUCACUUUUGCAAAAUCCAAAGUACUGUCAAUAAGCAUUACAAGAGCAGUAAUAAUCUGAGAGGAGAACAAAGACAUUCUCUAAUAUCUACAUAACUUUAUUAGAGCAAAAUUAUUUUAAAAUGCCUGUGAAUUCCCAAACCUCCUGAACACAAAUGAAUAAAAGUUUUUCUUCGGGCUAAAA